AUUUGGGACUGAAGCGUGCAGGCUGGUGACGCUCCAAAAGCAGGUUUAUGAAGCUUGAACUCCUGUGGGUGUGCUAAGAGCUGUGACUCAGAGGAGAAACAGGAAGUAUUUUGUGCUCAAAAACUUCACCCCCUCCACUAAAUCUCUUCCUCUGUCUGUCUUCAAGCUGAGAAAAAGUCCUACAGCAAGACAUAUUUAAUUUCCAAUUUCUCCAACGUUGGGCCUCUUGCGUAGUCACGGAUAGGCAUCUCCCCGUCGCUCGGUCACUCAAACCCUACACCUCAAAACACAGCCGGAUGAAUAGAACGAUAGAGGGGUGAAGACGAAGGCGGAGGAGUGAUCAGACCGGCGUGUAGCUCUGUCAGGCAACCCGACUCUCCUCGCCGUGGGGCGUCCUCGGGUUUUAUUCCCCCGGGUCCAGUUACCGGCUACACGUAAGCUUAACCAGGCCAGAUGAACACACACACACGGACAGACACAGUCACGGACACGCAA
Ictalurus punctatus (channel catfish) is the source of this 495-nucleotide long non-coding RNA. The record is from Ensembl. Lineage: Eukaryota; Metazoa; Chordata; Actinopteri; Siluriformes; Ictaluridae.